CCGGGUCUAAUACCCCCAAACCACUGUGAACCGUACCUAUACGUUGCCUCGGCGGCGCCUCUCGCGGGGCCCGCCGGCGGCCAAGCACACUGCAUCUAUAAAGUGUCAUCUCUGAGAAACAAGAAAAUAAGUCA
This 134-nucleotide unclassified non-coding RNA is filed under the name uncultured fungus. RNAcentral's name for it is "sequence contains ITS1, 5.8S rRNA gene". Lineage: Eukaryota; Fungi. The record is from RNAcentral.